UCCNCCAAGCUAUGCUCUAUUAGGGCGCC
RNAcentral lists this non-coding RNA (29 nucleotides) under Homo sapiens (human). Lineage: Eukaryota; Metazoa; Chordata; Mammalia; Primates; Hominidae. The record is from RNAcentral.